UACGUAGGGUGCGAGCGUUAUCCGGAAUUAUUGGGCGUAAAGCGCGCGCAGGCGGUCAUUUAAGUCAGGUGUGAAAGGCUGCGGCUCAACCGCAGAGCGGCACCUGAAACUGGAUGACUUGAGUGCAGGAGAGGAGAGCGGAAUUCCCGGUGUAGCGGUGGAAUGCGUAGAGAUCGGGAGGAACACCAGUGGCGAAGGCGGCUCUCUGGCCUGUUUCUGACGCUGAGGCGCGAAAGCGUGGGGAGCAAACAGG
RNAcentral lists this ribosomal RNA (253 nucleotides) under uncultured bacterium. RNAcentral's name for it is "partial 16S ribosomal RNA". It matches the Rfam family "Bacterial small subunit ribosomal RNA", at positions 524 to 776 of the family's 1533-position model. The record is from RNAcentral.